Molecule: ribosomal RNA, 217 nt
Filed under: uncultured bacterium
Lineage: Bacteria
Description: partial 16S ribosomal RNA
Rfam family: Bacterial small subunit ribosomal RNA
Source: RNAcentral
AUGUCCCAGUUCAGAUUGCAGGCUGCAACUCGCCUGCAUGAAGUCGGAAUUGCUAGUAAUCGCAGAUCAGCAUGCUGCGGUGAAUACGUUCCCGGGCCUUGUACACACCGCCCGUCACACCAUGAGAGUCGGGAACACCCGAAGUCCGUAGCCUGACCGCAAGGGGGCGCGGCCGAAGGUGGGUUCGAUAAUUGGGGUGAAGUCGUAACAAGGUACC